GACGAACGCUGGCGGCGUGCUUAACACAUGCAAGUCGAACGGAAAGGCCCUGCUUUUGUGGGGUGCUCGAGUGGCGAACGGGUGAGUAACACGUGAGUAACCUGCCCUUGACUUUGGGAUAACAUCAGGAAACUGGGGCUAAUACAGGAUAGGAGCUCCUGCUGCAUGGUGGGGGUUGGAAAGUUUCGGCGGUUGGGGAUGGACUCGCGGCAUAGCAGCUGGUUGGUGGGGUAGUGGCUUACAAAGGCUUUGACGGGUAGCCGGCCUGGGAGGGUGACCGGCCCCAUAGGGCUUGGGGAGCGACCCGGACUCCUUCGGGCGGAAGGGGCGGGAAAUAUAGGGAAAUGCGCGGGGGCAGGAAGCGGGGACGCCGCGUGGGAAAUGACUGCUAUCGGGGUGGAAACCGUGUGCGACUAUGACGACGCGUGUGUGCCGGUACUGAGUAGAGAAGCACCGCUAAAUUAGUU
RNAcentral lists this ribosomal RNA (467 nucleotides) under uncultured bacterium. RNAcentral describes it as "partial 16S ribosomal RNA". It matches the Rfam family "Bacterial small subunit ribosomal RNA", at positions 28 to 507 of the family's 1533-position model. The record is from RNAcentral.